AGAAUCAACGCUGGCGGCGUGCCUAACACAUGCAAGUCGAACGCGAAAGGGGAGCAAUCCCUGAGUAGAGUGGCAAACGGGUGAGUAACACGUGGGUGACCUGCCUCAGAGUGGGGGAUAACGUCCCGAAAGGGACGCUAAUACCGCAUAACAUCCUGCCCUUGGAAGGUGGAGAUCAAAGCCGGGAUCGCAAGACCUGGCGCUUGGAGAGGGGCCCGCGCCUGAUUAGCUAGUUGGUAGGUAACGGCCUACCAAGGCGACGAUCAGUA
Molecule: ribosomal RNA, 269 nt
Filed under: uncultured soil bacterium
Lineage: Bacteria
Description: partial 16S ribosomal RNA
Rfam family: Bacterial small subunit ribosomal RNA
Source: RNAcentral